RNAcentral lists this ribosomal RNA (253 nucleotides) under uncultured bacterium. Its description in RNAcentral is "partial 16S ribosomal RNA". It matches the Rfam family "Bacterial small subunit ribosomal RNA", at positions 524 to 776 of the family's 1533-position model. The record is from RNAcentral.
UACGUAUGGAGCAAGCGUUAUCCGGAUUUACUGGGUGUAAAGGGAGCGUAGGCGGCUCUGUAAGUCUGAUGUGAAAAUUUGGGGCUCAACCCCAAACGUGCAUUGGAAACUGCAGGGCUUGAGUGCCGGAGAGGCAGGCGGAAUUCCUAGUGUAGCGGUGAAAUGCGUAAAUAUUAGGAGGAACACCAGUGGCGAAGGCGGCCUGCUGGACGGUAACUGACGCUGAGGCUCGAAAGCGUGGGGAGCAAACAGG